UACGGAAGAUCCAAGCGUUAUCCGGAAUUACUGGGCGUAAAGAGUUGCGUAGGUGGCAUAGUAAGUUGGUAGUGAAAUCGUGUGGCUCAACCACACUCCCAUUACCAAAACUACUAAGCUAGAGGACAAGAGAGGUAGUUGGAAUUCCCAGUGUAGGAGUGAAAUCCGUAGAUAUUGGGAGGAACACCGAUGGCGUAGGCAGACUACUGGCUUGUUCCUGACACUGAGGCACGAAAGCAUGGGGAGCGACCGGG
Molecule: unclassified non-coding RNA, 254 nt
Filed under: uncultured Patescibacteria group bacterium
Lineage: Bacteria
Description: contains 16S-23S intergenic spacer region
Rfam family: Bacterial small subunit ribosomal RNA
Source: RNAcentral